UGGGGAAUAUUGGGCAAUGGGCGGAAGCCUGACCCAGCAACGCCGCGUGAAGGAAGAAGGCUUUCGGGUUGUAAACUUCUUUUAUGUAGGACGAAGAAAGUGACGGUACUACAUGAAUAAGCCACGGCUAACUACGUGCCAGCAGCCGCGGUAAUACGUAGGUGGCGAGCGUUAUCCGGAUUUACUGGGUGUAAAGGGCGUGUAGGCGGGACUGCAAGUCAGAUGUGAAAACUAUGGGCUCAACCCAUAGCCUGCAUUUGAAACUGUAGUUCUUGAGUGCUGGAGAGGCAAUCGGAAUUCCGUGUGUAGCGGUGAAAUGCGUAGAUAUACGGAGGAACACCAGUGGCGAAGGCGGAUUGCUGGACAGUAACUGACGCUGAGGCUCGAAAGCGUGGGGAGCGAACAGGAUUAGAUACC
RNAcentral lists this ribosomal RNA (417 nucleotides) under uncultured bacterium. Its description in RNAcentral is "bacterial SSU rRNA". It matches the Rfam family "Bacterial small subunit ribosomal RNA", at positions 355 to 786 of the family's 1533-position model. The record is from RNAcentral.